Molecule: non-coding RNA, 195 nt
Organism: Phalacrocorax carbo (great cormorant)
Lineage: Eukaryota; Metazoa; Chordata; Aves; Suliformes; Phalacrocoracidae
Source: RefSeq, a predicted model, not a curated record
AGCUGCAGACCGCGAUGAGGGCUGCCCUCAGCCUCCUCUGCUCCAGGCUGAACUCAGGAAAAACAUAAUCAAGUUGUGGAAACUUUCACCAAUGGAAGAUCUGAGGCAAGGUCAAAUAUAUAGAGGGCUCAGAGAUGCCAACACGUACAAACUGGGCAUAUACGCACACUGAAGUGAAGUGACCUUAUCGCUCUC